Long non-coding RNA from Colossoma macropomum (tambaqui), 555 nucleotides. RefSeq lists it as uncharacterized. The record is from RefSeq and is a predicted model, not a curated record. The transcript is spliced from 3 exons. NCBI's taxonomy places the organism in Eukaryota, Metazoa, Chordata, Actinopteri, Characiformes, Serrasalmidae.
CUGGGGGACUGGGUGGGGGGCUUAGCUCUUGCUCCUGCUUCAUCUCCAAAGCUGUUGACUUCACAAAAGAAAAAGGCUGGAUUAAUUCAGAGAUGUUUGAUUGACCAGUGUCAUGAAGACUACCUUCUGUGAUCCAUGACGGAUGGAGAGCUGGUGUCUCGCAUGAGGAGUGAUGAGGCGUGAUAUUCAGAGUGUUCCUGUUGAAGGACUGCAAGACAACAAACUAUCUGAAUGACGUAAUGGUGACCUCUCGUCAGUAUGACCUGCACAUGCCUGUUCUACAUGACAUAAAGUCGCAUACAGACCAGAAGACUAAAAGUCAUCUAUGUUUUCCAUUACUUCUUUUCAGAGAUUUUACCAGAUUCAGAACUUUAUGAAAUUUAAGCUGUCCACUUUGACAGAAGCUAAGUAUAGCUUCACUGUCCAGUGUCACCCAGAGAAGGAUUGGGUCCUCCUUUUGAGUCAUGGUUCAAGGUUUCUGUUGCCAUGGGCUUGUGCAUUGUAUCACAUAAUACCUGUACUUUGUAUGCCAUUUUGAACACUGUUUGUGGGAGU